Rhagoletis zephyria (snowberry fruit fly) is the source of this 735-nucleotide long non-coding RNA. RefSeq lists it as uncharacterized. The record is from RefSeq and is a predicted model, not a curated record. Lineage: Eukaryota; Metazoa; Arthropoda; Insecta; Diptera; Tephritidae.
UUCACAAACUACAGUGACAGCCGAAAAUUCACCUGUUGAGUAUACCUAAGUAGUCUCGCUAACAGGACUUUGAGAUAGCUGAAAAACUUAACCUGUAGCUAUUCAGUUUAUAGGGAAGCCAUUAAAUUUUCCGGAUACUGCCGCGAACGAGCUGCGCGAGAGAUAAGAUCCGUAUAUUUCGAAGUAGGCAUAAACCGCCCGAAACUUAUCAAUUACCACGCGUUUUAUUGCAUUAAUGUUAUCUUUUGGCACCAUGGCUGCCCAUAGGGGAAAGAAACGUACAGGCUUAUCCGUUCAGCGAUGCCGCUAUGUUUGACGUGUCUGCCUGGUAGCCCGGAUACGCCCAAUACGGAAGGAAGUUCUCUCUUGUCAACGCUGGUGAUUUUGCCCAAUAAUACACUAAUUCACGCAUUGGAUAUGCUGUGAGAGGAUAAACUAGCGAAUAUUGUAUGAGUAAGCCUGUGCCUGAGUAUUGGAAUCCUGAAAAGUCUUUUAUCAAAACGUUGUUUAUCCUGCAAAGCCGGCAACAAAUAAUCGGCUAUCGACAAAAUAUUUUGGGCAUCUCUGGUUUUGGACAACUAUGCAGUUACGCUCGCAACGUUCUAAAAUGGUCCUUGGAAGGAUAGAUUCCGAGACCCUGUUGCAAAGCUUCAUCGCAGUGCUUCUGACUCAGCUGGCCAUUCUCAACGAAUCGAACCGUAGUUGCUCCUCCAUGCCGGUAGGAUUGAAUAUACA